UGGGUUGAAGACAAGGGCCUGACACUCUUUGAUAGAGAAAGAUAGUCUUAUUGCGAUUCCUAUAAGAGGAAAGAGAAAAUAGUGCAAUGCUUUGUCUUUAUCACCGACCGGGUUUUUUUUCAUGGUCGGGUUAUGGCAGCUUAGGAAGGAGGCUGAUGGCGAUAUACAGAAAUUUAUAAGAGUGAAAGAGACAAAAUACCGCAAGAUGCCAUACAUUAAACUGUCAAUCAUAUUGUCAAGAGUGCUAGUAAACAAUGUGGUUUUCUUAUUGUAGAAGUUUUAUAAAGUGAAUGAUUGUGUUUAUUAAGUAUUUAAUGGAGAUGUAAGAAGUUUUUACGUACAAUUAACAUGGUGGGUUGUUCAGUGGUUGCCUACAAAAGCAAUAGCUUGCGAAAAUAAGCGGGUGUAACAUUUCAUGCGUAAGUACAACUUUUUCGUAUUUUGAUCAUGUAUUUCUUUCUCAAAUCUCACAGGAACCAAGUUACUGAGUUACAUCAUUAGUUGGAUUAUGAAAAACUUGAUAAAAUAGGAGAUAUCAGUAAAUUAUUGCUAAAAAUAAAACAGAAAGUUUGGUUAUGUAAACCAGUCAAAUUCAGUAGUAUUUUAUUUAGGGUUGCAAACAAAUAGAAAAAAAAGUCCCCUGCAAUUACCCCAUAUUUCGGGAGUUUCAAGCUAUUUGAUAUUUCCAGCUUUCCGACGGAGGAUGAAAUUGUUAAAGAAUGGAUUGCGGGAACUGGAAAAUCAAAUUUGAUGCCUCACAAAUACUCGCGUAUUUGUUCCAAACAUUUUGAACAACAUUGUGUCCGCAAACUGGGCAAACGAACUUUCAUCGAAAAGUUUUCUUUUCCAACCUUGUUCAUACACGAGAGGAGAGAGAACAUUCUUUUCUUCAUCAUGUCAUGGAAAUCGUCCAUUCGUGCACGUCGUAGUCGUGGCAGUCUCAACAGCAUUCUGAAGCUAUUUUUGAACUUCAUAUAAUUGAUCCACAUGUUACAAGUGUAUGUGUAAAUAAAGUUUUCUUGACCCCCACAGUAUGCACAACGCGCAACACGUAAGAUUUUUUAUUUAAACACAAAUAUUCGGUUUUAAGUAACAGUUUUAAUGUAAAUGACCAUGUUAGCUUAAAAUCAUAUACUGCGUAUCUACUGAGGUGUCGCUCAAGCACACCGUCAAGAACCUUCGCUGCAAUAGGGUUGUUUCCAUUUUGAAAUGCUUGUAUUAUAUAAUAUAUAUAUAUUUACCAAAUUAUGGCCUAAAAUUCAAUUUAUUUGUGUUGUUCUCAAGUAAAAGGUACCACAUUGUCGCUUAUCAUAAGAACGCUCUUACAGGUUGUACGUAUAGAGAGCAAGCAAAUUGUAUCCUUAUGGUAAGCGACUAUGUGGUACCUUUUACUUGAGAACGACACAUUUAAUUAUUAUUUCUAGUAAGUACAGUUAUAAUAAUAUAAGUUUUGAAUAAAGAAAUUACCUCUUUUGAUA
Molecule: long non-coding RNA, 1478 nt
Organism: Cydia pomonella (codling moth)
Lineage: Eukaryota; Metazoa; Arthropoda; Insecta; Lepidoptera; Tortricidae
Exons: 2
Source: RefSeq, a predicted model, not a curated record